GCGAACAUGAGCCCCAACCUAUUUAAAGAAGGAGCUCGCGUCUCCUCGGUCUUUACUUCAGCGGACACGUGUGAGCGGAGGGAAUCGAACACGUCCUCACUUCAUAAAACCAAACAUCAUCAUGGGCUCCAGCAAGUGUCCCGACAGGUUUUAUCUGGAUCAAAUGCCUUUUGUUGGACACCUGUAUGAUCCUGAUGGAGGAUGACGUGGUGUCUGAUCUUCUGAAGAAUGUCCUGCUACUAACAUCACAGUCUGCAGUUACAGCAGUGUGACUACUACAGGAAAUGGGUCUGAAAGGACGUCCUGUCUGACUCAGCGCCGUUUGAAAAGUGUCCGGGUUUAAGUUUGGGGAAAUGAAACCACAUGAGAUGUUGCAGCAGCUGUGAAAGACCCAGUCGUAGGAAGUGCUCGUGCUUUGCAGGUGAGACACUGGGCUCCUGAAGGAAAGUGGACCAGUGGAACAUCGUCCUCCUCCUGAAACUUGUUACUAAAUGUGAAUCUAUUUGUGAUAUUGUCUUAUAAAUAAUGCCUUAUGAAUCUACACUGUACUCCAAUUUAAGAAAUAAAAAUGUUUUUAAACUCCA
Molecule: long non-coding RNA, 584 nt
Organism: Hippoglossus stenolepis (Pacific halibut)
Lineage: Eukaryota; Metazoa; Chordata; Actinopteri; Pleuronectiformes; Pleuronectidae
Exons: 4
Source: RefSeq, a predicted model, not a curated record